AUUGAACGCUGGCGGCAGGCCUAACACAUGCAAGUCGAGCGGAUGAAGGGAGCUUGCUCCUGGAUUCAGCGGCGGACGGGUGAGUAAUGCCUAGGAAUCUGCCUGGUAGUGGGGGAUAACGUCCGGAAACGGGCGCUAAUACCGCAUACGUCCUGAGGGAGAAAGUGGGGGAUCUUCGGACCUCACGCUAUCAGAUGAGCCUAGGUCGGAUUAGCUAGUUGGUGGGGUAAAGGCCUACCAAGGCGACGAUCCGUAACUGGUCUGAGAGGAUGAUCAGUCACACUGGAACUGAGACACGGUCCAGACUCCUACGGGAGGCAGCAGUGGGGAAUAUUGGACAAUGGGCGAAAGCCUGAUCCAGCCAUGCCGCGUGUGUGAAGAAGGUCUUCGGAUUGUAAAGCACUUUUAUUUGGGAGGAAGGGCAGUAAGUUAAUACCGUGCUGUUUUGACGUUACCAACAGAAUAAGCACCGGCUAACUUCGUG
This 484-nucleotide ribosomal RNA is filed under the name uncultured bacterium. Its description in RNAcentral is "partial 16S ribosomal RNA". It matches the Rfam family "Bacterial small subunit ribosomal RNA", at positions 30 to 507 of the family's 1533-position model. The record is from RNAcentral.